AUAGCAUUUUUCCAAAUAAAAUGUCUCACCAUCUACGGUAGCCCGAGCCUGACCAUUUAGCGCAGGACGAGCAAAGUUACCAGACGUAAAUGGAGAAGGCAUUUCCAAAGCAGCAAGACGAACAUUGGAGACUCAUUGGAUUCUUCAGCGGCAUUGGUGGCAUGAGAUACUCUCUACUGAGUGCUGGCGUCGAUGCGAAAGUAGUACAAGCUUUUGAUAUCAAGGAUAAAUCAAACGAAUUUACGAGCAUAAUUUCGGCGAUCGUCCGCAUCAGGCUAAAAGGAGGCUUUUAUCCUUUCAAAGGCAAUCAUACAAUAAUCAACUUCUUUGGCGCCCAGUCCAUUACUCGAGAAUGAUGUUGACUUAGAAAUCAUUGAGAAUCGUGUGAUAAGUUGCUGCUCUCUUGCGAGCCAAUAUGUAGGUUUCUUGAAAAAUCCAACCAUCAGAGCGUGUUUAGUUUUCCUGAUUCCAGUAGUAUUCAUAGAGAGGGUGCACUGGAGAAUACCAAGGAUGCGACGAGCACGACAAUGGAUCUUUUGAUCACUAUCUCGUCUCGUCCAGUUUGAUAGACAAAUGGGACAGUGUUAUGGGUAUGAAUGUUGUCUUCUUUGGGCUUUCCCUUUCGAGCUUUUCCUCAAGAUUUUUAAAACGCGUUUGCUAGAGGGAGUUUCCACAUUCUUAUAAAAAAUCCUUCAUUCUUCUCCCCAAUCGAUGUAGAACCUCACAGCUAUCGUAUGAUCAGUAUUGUCUCAUCACCAGAACUCACUGUUGACUAUGGAUUAGAUUCUUUAGAGAGUUUAGAUAUCGUAUGUCUUGAUUCAAGGUGAUGCUUUGUUUUACAAAAAGCGUCAACCGAUACGUGAACGGCAUUGGCUUGCUUUUGGCACCUUUUAAGGCGGAAAUGGUGGAUAAGGCUCAUUCUCUGAAAGAGGCGCGACGCUCAGAUAUUGUACUCCUCUAGAGAGGUUGCUAACUUGCAUUUCUUUCCGGAAGAUUUUCAAUUUCCACAGCAUAUUGGCCCUGGGCAACGCCAUGCAUUGCUAGGGAACAGUUUACGCAUAGCCGUUGCUGCUCCCUUGCUCCGAUACCUCUUUGCAGAGACAUCUGGAUUU
Molecule: long non-coding RNA, 1112 nt
Organism: Cucurbita maxima (winter squash)
Lineage: Eukaryota; Viridiplantae; Streptophyta; Magnoliopsida; Cucurbitales; Cucurbitaceae
Exons: 6
Source: RefSeq, a predicted model, not a curated record